Long non-coding RNA from Sinocyclocheilus rhinocerous, 2579 nucleotides. RefSeq lists it as uncharacterized. NCBI's taxonomy places the organism in Eukaryota, Metazoa, Chordata, Actinopteri, Cypriniformes, Cyprinidae. The record is from RefSeq and is a predicted model, not a curated record. The transcript is spliced from 2 exons.
CUUUUAAAUAACUCUUAAGUUAUAAUAACCUUUCUUCCUCUUCAAAAACAGAUUUUAAAUUUAAAACAAUGCAUGUAGACUGAAGACGUAAACUACACUAAAGGAGUCUGUUUAAAGUGUUUGAUUUGACAAUUAAAAGCACACCUUUAAUGUUUCUCUCUCUUUUUAUACUUAAAAAGGACCCUAGAGGUAAGACCUGUGCUCUUUAAAAUAACCUGGAUAGCUUCCUAAUGUCUAUAGAGAGAACUAAAGCAUUCGAUGCUUGGGUAUGUAUUAAACUUUUCUUGAAUGACAUUUUAUUUUUGGUCUCACUCGGAAUGGGAAAUGUAUUACAGCCUGAAAUAAUUUGAAUUUAAAAGUUAAGUUAUGCAGGGGCCAUAUUUGUCAAGACUGAUGCAAAGACAAGUUGGCUGCUUUUAGCAAAAGGACAGGAGAGGACUGUUAAACUUUUAAGUGCAGCAUUGUAAAGGUAACCCUAACCCUAAAUUUGUAAGUGAGUAGUGUUACAUUUAUAUACUUAAAACUGUUUGGUAACAGCGUGCAAUGAUUUAAAAGAUUCUGUCGUUAAAAAAUAUAAAAGUAAAGUGGAAAAAAAUAUACAAACACACAGUAAUAGAUUUUGCUUAUAAUAUUUUUGUACUAACGUUCUAGAGCAGAACUGUAAUGCAACUCAUGCUAAAAGUGCUCAGUGUCAAAUCUAGAUCCAUCUGUUUGUAAUGCUGCUCCUGUUUUUUUUUCUUUUGCGAUUUAAUUGUUUAACGUAUUGAAAUACUCAAAUGUCCUACCUAAAAAGUUACCUGGAAAAGCUUGAGUUGCAUGACUCAAACUUGGCAGAUUGCAUGAGCUUCCUCAAUACAGUAUAGUUUAUCAUGGCAAUGUUUGGUUAUUCGCUCAUAGCGAUCUCUCUUCCCUCAGGUUGUGAUGCCUGGCAAUUCCUGGAAAUGCAAAGUUUAAUUGAGAAUGUCAGACCUCUCCUCAGGAAAAGACAAGUGUUUGUUUGCAGUGUAAGAACAAUCUUACCUCUGAACACCAGCUGCCUUUAAGGAACCGUGGACAGUCUGACUGAACAGCUUCUGAACUGGGUCGAAUGGCAGAAAUCGAUGGUCCUGUCGACUAAAGUUUGAACCACCAACCUCUUAAUGGGUUAAAGCGGAAAAGUCUUGAGUUCUUGGUGAUGUUUAUAUUGGCUCUCCAGUUGUAAUGCAAGGUCAUUUUCUCUGUGCUCUGUUUCUCAUGUUUCUCUUUUCUGUUCACCUCAUCAAGUGCUUUCUAAGCACACUUUACUUUAAAUGUAUAUCUUUAAAUGGACUACUUCUGUUCAUGUUGGCUAAGAAGUCAUUUUAACAAGCUCAAAAAAUUCUGUCCAGGCUCUCCAGACGUCUACUUCAGACAAUACUCCAGUGCUUUAUUCUGCAAGACAAGCAUGUCUUCCCCGAUUCCUUGCUCGGACGAAUGUACGUGCUAAUUUAGAGCUGUCCGGCCCCCAUCUCUUAGAACCGACUUUGUCCUUUAAUUGCCAUGGUAAUUUUCAUCGUGCUCUUGAGUAGAUAUGUUUGAAUGGGUUUAUGCUGGUGGAGCUCUAACAUUUUUACCUUCUGGAUAAAGGUCUUUCUUGCCUUAAUUGAGAGCUUUUCAUAAAUUCUGCUUUGCUUUCUAAUCCUCGCUGUGUUUGUGUCACUGUUAGUGUCUAUUGCUGUGGCUUCCAUCUUUUGCUCACCCCCCGCCUCCCUCACUCCAGUGCACAUAGGAUUUGAGCCUGCCAUUUUGACCAAUUAUCAUCGCUGACAGUGUGUCCGUCCCCCCGCGGAGCCGCCACUGUUUGCCGACUGGCUAACAGGACUAAUGCCUUAUUGCAUUAGAGACAAAUCAGUCCUCAGCACAGAUUUGAAUAAGCAUCAGCCACCGCUCAAGUGCCAUCGAACAAUUGGAAAUGGGUGUGUGUGGGUAGGAGGUGGACCGAUUCGUAUGCAGGCUUCACCGUAAUGAGAAAUUGCAAAAGCAGAUAAUGGAAAUAUUUAAUACAUUUCCCAGACAGAUGCUAGGGGGUAAAGAAAACUAGUCUCAAGCAGGAGGAAAUAUUCAAACCCACUGUGUGCACUUAAUGGUUCUUUGUUUACAUUGUCAUAUCUGUCAGACAUGCAUGGCCUACAGCUGCUGGGUAAAUGCCUCUGGGGUAAUGUGCAAAGAAUGUGUGGUGGUCUGAAGCCGGGGGAUUGUGGCUUGGCAGCUCUUUCCUCUUAACACACAUUGUGCAUGCUGAAAACAGGAAGCAUGGCUUUGCGAAUGCAAAUGAAACGCUCACACCACUGACUGUCUGUCUUCCUGCAUGGCUAAUUUGCUAGGUUCACACCUAACCAGUACACACUUUCCAGGGAGUCAGGGUUUUGAGUGCACAGGGAGGAGUUGUGACUGUUUCUGGCUCACGUCCUGGAGAACCAUGGCCGCUGGCCACCUCCUUCAGCGUGAAAAGCUGGUAAUAACUAAGCCUCCUAAAGGUCUCUCUCAUUGUGCUGUGAUGAAAAUGAAUUGAAUCCAUCCAUGUGGAAUCUGGCUUGAGUAAUCCGUAGCCCUCCAGGACU